RNAcentral lists this ribosomal RNA (1737 nucleotides) under Salmonella enterica subsp. enterica. RNAcentral's name for it is "bacterial LSU rRNA". It matches the Rfam family "Bacterial large subunit ribosomal RNA", at positions 1223 to 2925 of the family's 2925-position model. Lineage: Bacteria; Pseudomonadati; Pseudomonadota; Gammaproteobacteria; Enterobacterales; Enterobacteriaceae. The record is from RNAcentral. RNAcentral also lists the same sequence under 2 other names.
GUUGGGUAGGGGAGCGUUCUGUAAGCCUGUGAAGGUGGCCUGUGAGGGUUGCUGGAGGUAUCAGAAGUGCGAAUGCUGACAUAAGUAACGAUAAAGCGGGUGAAAAGCCCGCUCGCCGGAAGACCAAGGGUUCCUGUCCAACGUUAAUCGGGGCAGGGUGAGUCGACCCCUAAGGCGAGGCCGAAAGGCGUAGUCGAUGGGAAACGGGUUAAUAUUCCCGUACUUGGUGUUACUGCGAAGGGGGGACGGAGAAGGCUAUGUUGGCCGGGCGACGGUUGUCCCGGUUUAAGCGUGUAGGUGUGUGUUCCAGGUAAAUCCGGUUCACUUUAACACUGAGGCGUGACGACGAGGCACUACGGUGCUGAAGCAACAAAUGCCCUGCUUCCAGGAAAAGCCUCUAAGCAUCAGGUAACAUCAAAUCGUACCCCAAACCGACACAGGUGGUCAGGUAGAGAAUACCAAGGCGCUUGAGAGAACUCGGGUGAAGGAACUAGGCAAAAUGGUGCCGUAACUUCGGGAGAAGGCACGCUGACACGUAGGUGAAGUGAUUUACUCAUGGAGCUGAAGUCAGUCGAAGAUACCAGCUGGCUGCAACUGUUUAUUAAAAACACAGCACUGUGCAAACACGAAAGUGGACGUAUACGGUGUGACGCCUGCCCGGUGCCGGAAGGUUAAUUGAUGGGGUCAGCGCAAGCGAAGCUCCUGAUCGAAGCCCCGGUAAACGGCGGCCGUAACUAUAACGGUCCUAAGGUAGCGAAAUUCCUUGUCGGGUAAGUUCCGACCUGCACGAAUGGCGUAAUGAUGGCCAGGCUGUCUCCACCCGAGACUCAGUGAAAUUGAACUCGCUGUGAAGAUGCAGUGUACCCGCGGCAAGACGGAAAGACCCCGUGAACCUUUACUAUAGCUUGACACUGAACAUUGAGCCUUGAUGUGUAGGAUAGGUGGGAGGCUUUGAAGUGUGGACGCCAGUCUGCAUGGAGCCGACCUUGAAAUACCACCCUUUAAUGUUUGAUGUUCUAACGUGGACCCGUUACCCGGGUUGCGGACAGUGUCUGGUGGGUAGUUUGACUGGGGCGGUCUCCUCCUAAAGAGUAACGGAGGAGCACGAAGGUUGGCUAAUCCUGGUCGGACAUCAGGAGGUUAGUGCAAUGGCAUAAGCCAGCUUGACUGCGAGCGUGACGGCGCGAGCAGGUGCGAAAGCAGGUCAUAGUGAUCCGGUGGUUCUGAAUGGAAGGGCCAUCGCUCAACGGAUAAAAGGUACUCCGGGGAUAACAGGCUGAUACCGCCCAAGAGUUCAUAUCGACGGCGGUGUUUGGCACCUCGAUGUCGGCUCAUCACAUCCUGGGGCUGAAGUAGGUCCCAAGGGUAUGGCUGUUCGCCAUUUAAAGUGGUACGCGAGCUGGGUUUAGAACGUCGUGAGACAGUUCGGUCCCUAUCUGCCGUGGGCGCUGGAGAACUGAGGGGGGCUGCUCCUAGUACGAGAGGACCGGAGUGGACGCAUCACUGGUGUUCGGGUUGUCAUGCCAAUGGCACUGCCCGGUAGCUAAAUGCGGAAGAGAUAAGUGCUGAAAGCAUCUAAGCACGAAACUUGCCCCGAGAUGAGUUCUCCCUGAGACUUAGAGUCUCCUGAAGGAACGUUGAAGACGACGACGUUGAUAGGCCGGGUGUGUAAGCGCAGCGAUGCGUUGAGCUAACCGGUACUAAUGAACCGUGAGGCUUAACCUUACAACGCCGAAG